Sander lucioperca (pikeperch) is the source of this 230-nucleotide long non-coding RNA. RefSeq lists it as uncharacterized. The record is from RefSeq and is a predicted model, not a curated record. Lineage: Eukaryota; Metazoa; Chordata; Actinopteri; Perciformes; Percidae. The transcript has 2 exons.
AAUUUAACUGAAUCCUUAUUUUUCUCUCAGACCAGAGGUCUCUCUUCUUCACUCAGUCUUUUCCACCGAUAGCAGUGUGUUGGCUGAUACUGUUAGUCAUCAUGGGCCUUCGUAUCCACUUUACCUCUGUCAUUUCUGAAAAUGACGCCAAGCUGAGGGCAGAAAACCAGCAGCUGACAUCCCAAAACCAGCAGCUUAAGGCACGAAACCAGGAGCUGGAGACACAAAUA